Canis lupus familiaris (dog) is the source of this 730-nucleotide long non-coding RNA. RefSeq lists it as uncharacterized. The transcript is spliced from 3 exons. The record is from RefSeq and is a predicted model, not a curated record. Lineage: Eukaryota; Metazoa; Chordata; Mammalia; Carnivora; Canidae.
ACUAACAACUUGAAGGCAAACGUUGGCAACCACAGCCUCUCGUUUAUGUAACAAAUAUGUAAAGGGGCACAGUGCUAGGAACGUAAUGGUUUGGGGAAUAGGUGGUGAUCUUUAAAUCGCCCCUUUCUUCUAUAUAUUGUCACCAUGGCCAGAGUUGGAAGAGCCUUCCACGUACCUCUCCUGCUUGGCCACCAUCCUGCCUCGCUGCCUGAUGUCGUCCUAAACGAGGUACCAGGAGACACGGUUGCACACAGUGACUGCUCCACCUGCCACCUGGUCGCAGGGACCAUUUUCUAGCAUGCUAGGAGAGCCGGGCUGGAUGCAUAGAACAUUCCUAAUCAUAAUCAGAAGCCUCAGCAGCGAGUUGUAUCUCUUUCGGAAGCAUUAAGUGAUUACAGUCCAUGUCUGAAGGAAAAAAGGCCAUGGCAGGUGAUGUUUUCAGAAGCUGAUCUCCGUGGCUAAAGGAAUGAUUAAGCAAGCUGUUUUCAUCUACACCGAGUCACUUUCAGCAGACCUCUAACUGUGAGCAAAGAAUUGUGAAGACUGUUCUAGAGAGAAAUCAGCACAGUGCAACCAAGCCAGCCUGUAAAUGUACUUCCUUGCCCCUCUCUCUCUACAAACCAGCAUCUCUGUUAAUGCAGCUUUCAAAAGCAGUGUAUAUAAAUCACACACUAUGAGUACCAGCACAUAAAAAGACAGAUUUGAUAACCCACAGUUUGGCUCUGAUUCU